CGCGCGAGCAGAAGAGGGAAAAGCCCAAAUUUGUAAUCUGGCCCUUUCAGGGUCCGAGUUGUAAACUUGAGAACUGUUUUCUGUGCUGGACCAUGUAUAAAUCUGUUGGAAUACCACCUCCUUGAAGGGGAAAAUCCCGUUUAUGAAAUGGACCACCCAUGGUCCGUGAUACCAUCUCCAAAAAUCCAAUUGGUUGGGAAUGCCACUCCAAUUGGGUGGGAAAUUCCCUCCAAAGGUAAAUAUUGGUGAAAAAACCAAAGCCAACCAAUUCCGUGAAGGAAAGAAGAAAAAAACCUUGGAAAGAAAAUUAACCGUACCUGAAAUUGGUAAAAAGGAAACCCUUGAAAUUAAAACUGUUGAAUCCAGGUCCACCCUUUAAUUAGGGGGAAUCCCUGCCUUUACCGAACAACCUCCAUUUUAAAAGCCAGAAUAAGGUAUUGGAAAAGGGGCCACUUUGGUUGGUUUAAAGGCCUUUUCUUUUAAUAAUGCCUAAAUUGGGACUGCAGAAGCUGAUUUAUCAUGGGUCAAUGUUGACCUUCUACUAUGGAUGUUGGUGUAAUAGCUUUAAAUGACCCGU
RNAcentral lists this ribosomal RNA (577 nucleotides) under Blastospora smilacis. Its description in RNAcentral is "partial large subunit ribosomal RNA". It matches the Rfam family "Eukaryotic large subunit ribosomal RNA", at positions 87 to 652 of the family's 3401-position model. Lineage: Eukaryota; Fungi; Basidiomycota; Pucciniomycetes; Pucciniales; Zaghouaniaceae. The record is from RNAcentral.